RNAcentral lists this ribosomal RNA (407 nucleotides) under uncultured Pseudomonas sp. Its description in RNAcentral is "bacterial SSU rRNA". It matches the Rfam family "Bacterial small subunit ribosomal RNA", at positions 977 to 1382 of the family's 1533-position model. The record is from RNAcentral. Lineage: Bacteria; Pseudomonadati; Pseudomonadota; Gammaproteobacteria; Pseudomonadales; Pseudomonadaceae.
GGCCUUGACAUGUCGAGAACUUUUCCAGAGAUGGAUUGGUGCCUUCGGGAACUCGAACACAGGUGCUGCAUGGCUGUCGUCAGCUCGUGUCGUGAGAUGUUGGGUUAAGUCCCGCAACGAGCGCAACCUUGUCCUUAGUUGCCAGCACGGUAAUGGUGGAACGUCUAAGGAGACCGCCGGUGAACAAACCGGAGGAAGGUGGGACGACGUCAAGUCAUCAUGGCCCUUACGGCCUGGGCUACACACGUGCUACAAUGGUCGGUACAAAGGGUUGCCAAGCCGCGAGGUGGAGCUAAUCCCAUAAAACCGAUCGUAGUCCGGAUCGCAGUCUGCAACUCGACUGCGUGAAGUCGGAAUCGCUAGUAAUCGUGAAUCAGAAUGUCACGGUGAAUACGUUCCCGGGCCUU